AAGCAGGGUCCAUAAGUCCACCUUCACACCCUUUAUUAGAUGUGUCACAGUUGACAAGUUCUUGAGUUGAAAGGCUAAUAAGUUCACCAGUGACCAAUGCAUUUAUUCCUUCAAUGGCUCCACAUGCGGAAAAUGCCCAACAACAUCCACAUGCUCCUUGAUUCUUAACCUCAGUGACAACCCCAUGUUUCCUCCAAUCCUUAGCAGGAGGAGCAUCACAUGAAUUCGCAGAAAUAGUGGUCUUGUUCUGCUGUUUAAAAGGCAUCUUAAUCUUUGAAGUAUGAACUUGACUGAACUCUUCAUUGCUCAUAUCAGCA
This 317-nucleotide unclassified non-coding RNA is filed under the name Hevea brasiliensis (rubber tree). Lineage: Eukaryota; Viridiplantae; Streptophyta; Magnoliopsida; Malpighiales; Euphorbiaceae. The record is from RNAcentral.